Frankliniella occidentalis (western flower thrips) is the source of this 424-nucleotide long non-coding RNA. RefSeq lists it as uncharacterized. Lineage: Eukaryota; Metazoa; Arthropoda; Insecta; Thysanoptera; Thripidae. The transcript is spliced from 2 exons. The record is from RefSeq and is a predicted model, not a curated record.
UUAAACAUUUAUGUACAUUUUAAGUGGCAACCAAAGUAUUUCUGAAUCCUAUCCCUGUGUAUGGUGUAACUUUUUGUUCCAUUGAAUAGGUGUCGAAGUGUCGGUUAGCCUUGUGUGUACAGUUUACAGUCCGUCAUUGUGUAUGAAAGUUUUCAAGUCAAUUUCAUUGUUUUACGACAAUCUAGUGUGCAAAAAAAAAAACCUUCAUCGUUUUGUCCUGCCUUAUUCAUGCUUGGUCUCUUCGGAGCUAAGGUCUAGUGACGCCUUGCUGUGAUGUUGUUGCAAAGUGCUCAAAUGCACUGUUUAGCCUCAUGUGCAAAAUAAUUCAGUCUUGUUCCCAUCUACUGAGGUUUAAUUUAACUUUUAAAGAUUUCAAGUUGUAUCUUUUGUCUAACAAUUCAAGUUUAUCUUUAGCAGUGCUGCA